GACGAACGCUGGCGGUGUGCUUAACACAUGCAAGUCGAACGGUAAGGCCCUUUCGGGGGUACACGGGUGGCGAACGGGGGCGUAACACGUGAGUAACCUGCCCUCAUCUCUGGGAUAACAGUCGGAAACGGUUGCUAAUACUGGAUAUGAGCCUGCAAGGCAUCUUGAUGGUUGGAAAGAUUAUUUGGUUGGGGAUGGACUCGCGGCCUAUCAGCUUGUUGGUGAGGUAGUGGCUCACCAAAGCUUCGACGGGUAGCCGGCCUGAGAGGGCGACCGGCCACAUUGGGACUGAGAUACGGCCCAAACUCCUACGGGAGGCAGCAGUGGGGAAUAUUGCACGAUGGACGGCAGUCUGAUGCAGCAACGCCGCGUGCGGGAUGACGGCCUUCGGGUUGUAAACCGCUUUCAAUUGUGACGAAGCUUUUUGUGACGGUAGCAGUAGAAGAAGCACCGGCUAACUACGUG
This 465-nucleotide ribosomal RNA is filed under the name uncultured bacterium. RNAcentral describes it as "partial 16S ribosomal RNA". It matches the Rfam family "Bacterial small subunit ribosomal RNA", at positions 28 to 507 of the family's 1533-position model. The record is from RNAcentral.